This 411-nucleotide ribosomal RNA is filed under the name Paraleptophlebia vaciva. RNAcentral describes it as "eukaryotic LSU rRNA". It matches the Rfam family "Eukaryotic large subunit ribosomal RNA", at positions 1558 to 1861 of the family's 3401-position model. Lineage: Eukaryota; Metazoa; Arthropoda; Insecta; Ephemeroptera; Leptophlebiidae. The record is from RNAcentral.
CCCCCCCCUCCUCCUCGGAAGAGAGGGGUCGCCGCGCGCUUUAAAGGCUCGCCGCUUCGGUUUUCGUUUUCGUGCUGGCUGGCGCUCUCAGAGCUCGUGCUAAGAACCCCGUCCGUCGGGCGAAAGGGAAUCCGGUUCCUAUUCCGGAACCCGGUUGCGGAACCGCACUCACGAUCCUCGUAUUGACACGGUAACGUGAAAGACCCUAGCGAUGCCGUCUGGAGCCCCGGGAAGAGUUUUCUUUUCUGCCUGAGCGCUCGGGUUCCAUGGAAUCCUCUCGCAGGGAGAUAUGGAAUGGAGCGCGAAGAGCAUCGCAGUUGCUGCGAUGUCCGGGGAGUCCCGUCGGUCCUUGAAAAGCUAGGUGAGGGUCACGUGGAGGCGUCGCACCGGUUCGUACCCAUAUCCGCAGCA